GGGGUUGUGGCUCAGAGGUAGAGCGCUCGCCUUGCACGUGAGAGACCCUGUUCGAUCCUCAACACCA
This 67-nucleotide transfer RNA is filed under the name Marmota marmota marmota (Alpine marmot). It matches the Rfam family "tRNA". Rfam says of the family: Transfer RNA (tRNA) molecules are approximately 80 nucleotides in length. The record is from Rfam by way of RNAcentral. Lineage: Eukaryota; Metazoa; Chordata; Mammalia; Rodentia; Sciuridae. RNAcentral also lists the same sequence under 1 other name.